This 253-nucleotide ribosomal RNA is filed under the name uncultured bacterium. Its description in RNAcentral is "partial 16S ribosomal RNA". It matches the Rfam family "Bacterial small subunit ribosomal RNA", at positions 524 to 776 of the family's 1533-position model. The record is from RNAcentral.
UACGUAGGGGGCAAGCGUUGUCCGGAUUUAUUGGGCGUAAAGAGCGUGUAGGCGGUUCGGUAGGUCCGUUGUGAAAACUCGAGGCUCAACCUCGAGACGCCGAUGGAAACCCUCGAACUAGAGUCCGGAAGAGGAGAAUGGAAUUCCUGGUGUAGCGGUGAAAUGCGCAGAUAUCAGGAAGAACACCCGUGGCUAAGGCGGUUCUCUAGUACGGUACUGACGCUGAGGAGCGAAAGCGUGGGGAGCGAACAGG